UGUGUUUCUUUUUCAUUUCAGUUGCCUGUUGGUAAGUACAAUUGCCUUCUUUAAUUGCAUAUUGAAAUAUGUUUUAUGACUUUUAUUCUGCUAUGCUUUUUUCAUUUCAGUUUGGCAGAUGUAAGUACACUUCAUUUAUGUAAAAACUGAAUAUGAUUGUUGUGCUAUACAAAAUGUGCUUUUUUCAAUUUCAGGUCAGCAAUGGUAAGUAUAGUGUGUUUCUUUAUGUAUAAUUUUGUAUACAUAUUGUUUUUUUCAUCAUAGCAUGUCUUUUAUAUUUAUGCUUUGUGUAAGUAAAAUGUUCAUAAAUCAUUCUUAUCUUCAAACUAAAAAUGUAUUGUGCUAUGCAAAAUGUCUGUAUGAUUUCAGUUGCCAGAGGUGAGUACCAUUACAGUUGAAAAGUUAGUUUUGUUUAGUUAAAGUUUUGGUUCACAGUUCUGUUUGUUAUUUGGCAAAAUUUACAUGUAUGCAUUGAGUCUUGAUUUCAGCUAGAUUGUGGACUGAAGAAGAUUGCCAGCAGAGGGAUUGGAUACAAGAUACAAAGUAAGUACUGAGUUUCUUACUAAAAGUUUUGAGUUGUAUUCAUCGUGUGUUAAUAUGCUAUGAUUGCUAUGAACAUGACUUUUGUAUUUCAGCGAAGACAACAUAGGUAAGUAAAAUUGUUAUCUGUUUCAUGUUUACUGUUACAGUUCAAUAUUGUGUUUAUAAAUUGUAAGUUGUACAAACACAUUCAAAAGUUUCUGAUCAUGCUUUCGAUUUCAUUUCAGCUUUACUGCUUGACGAGUGUUAUCAACUACUAGACGAGUCAGCUUUACUACCAGGCGAGCAGUGACAACAAGGCGCCUUUGUGGAAACAACACAACAAAAAACUGUACUGCUAGACGAGCAGUGACAGAAAGGCGCCUGAACAUGCAACACAAAACAAAAAAUGCCAAUAUCCAAACCUUGAUGUGGACACCGAGUAGUCAAUACAUACGUGUGGCGUACAGCUGCGACAAAACCGUGGGUCCAUCGCACCGAUAACUCGAACAUUGGCCCGCGUAUGGACAUCAGUGCAACUUUGUGAAUCCAUGUAACUUUGUGAAUCCAUGUAACAUUGCGAAUGUGUGUCGAUCGAAAAAUGUGUACAUUCUGCACUGAAACGAACUCGGUGUUGCAAGUGGCAAGUGUUGACAGUGUGUAUGUUUAUGUUUAUGUUUUUACAUGAAAAAUAAAGGAGAUUGUUCUCCUACCUUUUUUUUCCUUGUUUUAUUGUGCUGGCCAGCAAUAUUGAUGUAUUGAUGUAUGUGUUUGUGUUUAAACUAUGCAAUACCAAAAUCAAACAAAAAAUAAACAUUAACAGUCAUUAACUGUGUUUGGGCGGCCGAGGGGUUUAAGACUCCACAAGUGUGAAGCGCACUGAUAGCACUUGGGGGUAAACACCUCGGUAUUUCGGUGCUAAAAUGUUUUCACGGUGCUUAUUUUGACGCACUGUUAGAACUACCAACCAGUAAAUGAUUGCUUGAUUUAUAAAACUAAUAUUCAGUCUCUACUU
Dreissena polymorpha is the source of this 1534-nucleotide long non-coding RNA. RefSeq lists it as uncharacterized. The transcript has 3 exons. Lineage: Eukaryota; Metazoa; Mollusca; Bivalvia; Myida; Dreissenidae. The record is from RefSeq and is a predicted model, not a curated record.